RNAcentral lists this ribosomal RNA (739 nucleotides) under uncultured Vagococcus sp. RNAcentral's name for it is "bacterial SSU rRNA". It matches the Rfam family "Bacterial small subunit ribosomal RNA", at positions 760 to 1502 of the family's 1533-position model. Lineage: Bacteria; Bacillati; Bacillota; Bacilli; Lactobacillales; Enterococcaceae. The record is from RNAcentral.
GGUGGGGAGCAAACAGGAUUAGAUACCUGGUAGUCCACGCCGUAAACGAUGAGUGCUAAGUGUUAGGGGGUUCCGCCCUUUAGUGCUGCAGCUAACGCAUUAAGCACUCCGCUGGGGAGUACGACCGCAAGGUUGAAACUCAAAGGAAUUGACGGGGGCCCGCACAAGCGGUGGAGCAUGUGGUUUAAUUCGAAGCAACGCGAAGAACCUUACCAGGUCUUGACAUCCUUUGACCACUCUAGAGAUAGAGCUUUCCCUUCGGGGACAAAGUGACAGGUGGUGCAUGGUUGUCGUCAGCUCGUGCCGUGAGAUGUUGGGUUAAGUCCCGCAACGAGCGCAACCCUUAUUGUUAGUUGCCAUCAUUCAGUUGGGCACUCUAGCGAAACUGCCGGUGACAAACCGGAGGAAGGUGGGGAUGACGUCAAAUCAUCAUGCCCCUUAUGACCUGGGCUACACACGUGCUACAAUGGACAGUACAAUGAGCAGCGACACGGCGACGUGAAGCGAAUCUCAUAAAGCUGUUCUCAGUUCGGAUUGUAGGCUGCAACUCGCCUACAUGAAGCCGGAAUCGCUAGUAAUCGCGGAUCAGCACGCCGCGGUGAAUACGUUCCCGGGCCUUGUACACACCGCCCGUCACACCACGAAAGUUUGUAACACCCAAAGUCGGUGAGGUAACCUUCGGGAGCCAGCUGCCUAAGGUGGGAUAGAUGAUUGGGGUGAAGUCGUAACAAGGUAACCA